This is a long non-coding RNA of Chinchilla lanigera (long-tailed chinchilla), 493 nucleotides long. RefSeq lists it as uncharacterized. The transcript has 3 exons. The record is from RefSeq and is a predicted model, not a curated record. NCBI's taxonomy places the organism in Eukaryota, Metazoa, Chordata, Mammalia, Rodentia, Chinchillidae.
CAUCCUACAGCAGGGCAGGGAUGGAACCAUGAGCCAGAGCAUGGAGGGGCCAUACCUCUUCCAGCUAGGCACAUCCCUGGCCAGCUGGCGGCAACUGGGGGUACUUGGAGGACCUCCACUUUCGUGUGUAGUAGGAUGCUGCUCCAUGAAGCCUGGGGCGGGUCCACAUUCCAGCCCUGCCUGCCUGCCUCGCUAGACUUGUGACUUUAACUUGCUCUUCUUCCUAAAGAGCCUUCUUGGGAUGUACUCUACAAACCUGCCCACUAAUGGAUCAUGGCCUCCAGUUCUUCCCCUGGGAUUUCCCGUGUUGAGCCUUGCCUCUCCUGACAGCUGCAGAAGGAACAUGGCCCUACUUCUGGUGAACAUCCAUCACAUCAAUGGGAGGAUGGUUCCUAGCCUUACUGAAGAGGGCACAGCAUUGUCGAUGGCCAGGAUCCACAUUCUUGGAAUGGGGUUAUAACCAGAAAUUUGUAAAGUUUAAAAAUAAAAUUGU